This 1039-nucleotide long non-coding RNA is filed under the name Canis lupus familiaris (dog). Its description in RNAcentral is "lncRNA (ENSCAFG00030023134.1)". The record is from RNAcentral. Lineage: Eukaryota; Metazoa; Chordata; Mammalia; Carnivora; Canidae.
CUAUGCACGGGCGGGGUUGGGGGCGGAACGGAGAGCCCGGGUGUCCUCAACCCUGGCAAAUGGUCACGGCCUCUGCCAGAGAACUCGAGGCGCCGCUGCUCUAACAUCCCGACUCUUGUCACUUUUCAGGAUCCAGCCCGAGUGGACCUGCUCCGGAGGCUGUGGGCCCUGCGACGGCACCUCAGAGCCGAGGCUCUGGGCCAGGCACAGCGGACGGUGACCAUCCCGGUAGGGCUGUUCUGGCCGCGGGCCUGCUCUGCUGGACCCUUCCACGUGGCCCCCGUCGUGGCCCUGACUGCAGACCGGCCCCAGACGCCGCUGGUCAUCAGCAUCUCCUGCGUCAUCACCAGCCUCAGCUAUGCCAGCUCCUGUCUCGGCCCCUCCUCUGCGCCUUCCUGGACGAGAGCUUCCAAAACAGCCUCCAGAGCAUGUUCCAGUGCUCAGGGGCCUGGGUGGCCCUCCCUCCGGAGCCCCAGUGUGUCCGUUAGGACAAGAGCUGUCGCUCUGGAGGAACAUCCCUUGCUCACAUCCCGUCAUUAUGUUCUCCACACGGGAGAGAAAGGGCCAGGGAGCUUGGCCACCGAACCUGCAGUGAUGACCACGAGCCUGUCCCUUCCCAGGCCUCAGCCCCUGGGUGAGGAGCUGCAGGGAUGCGGGUCCCGGCACCCCCCCCCAUGCCCUUCAGACCCAGGCUGAAGUUCUUGGCACCAUAGACAUCCCGACUCACGACCUCCCUGGAUGUCCCUUGGCCAUCCUCCCUGCCAACCGUAGUCCGGAGGGAGAGAAACCCAAACCGCGACCUCAUCCUGGGGCCCCCACUGCAUUCCCGCCGGGACCCUGGGCUGGAUCCCCCCAAGACACGAGGAGCAGGUGAUGGAAAUGUGAACACCUGGGGCCGGAGAGCCAAGUGUCCCCGCAAAAGCCACAGACUCAGUCCUCAAGCACGGCCACAGAAUGCGCUCCCGUCACUUGGAACCCGGAUGGCGUUUCACCAGGAGGCGGCCGUGUGCCCCGUGUCACAGCUGGUGGCCCCCCAUAC